RNAcentral lists this ribosomal RNA (253 nucleotides) under uncultured bacterium. RNAcentral's name for it is "partial 16S ribosomal RNA". It matches the Rfam family "Bacterial small subunit ribosomal RNA", at positions 524 to 776 of the family's 1533-position model. The record is from RNAcentral.
UACGUAGGGACCAAGCGUUGUUCGGAUUUACUGGGCGUAAAGGGCGCGUAGGCGGCUUAACAAGUCACUUGUGAAAUCUCCGGGCUUAACUCGGAACGGCCAAGUGAAACUGUCAAGCUAGAGUGCAGAAGGGGCAAUCGGAAUUCUUGGUGUAGCGGUGAAGUGCGUAGAUAUCAAGAGGAACACCUGAGGUGAAGACGGGUUGCUGGGCUGACACUGACGCUGAGGCGCGAAAGCCAGGGGAGCAAACGGG